AUACGGAGGAUCCGAGCGUUAUCCGGAUUUAUUGGGUUUAAAGGGUGCGCAGGCGGCCAUUUAAGUCAGCGGUUAAAUCGUGGGGCUCAACCCCAUUCUGCCGUUGAUACUGGGUGGCUUGAUUGCGGUCGAGGUUGGCGGAAUUCGUUGUGUAGCGGUGAAAUGCAUAGAUAUGACGAAGAACACCGAUUGCGUAGGCAGCUGACCAGACCGCAAAUGACGCUCAUGCACGAAAGUGCGGGGAUCGAACAGGAUUAGAUACCCUGGUAGUCCGCACAGUAAACGAUGAAUACUUGUUUUCGGCGAUAUAAUGUCGGAGGCAAAGCGAAGGCGAUAAGUAUUCCACCUGGGGAGUACGCCGGCAACGGUGAAACUCAAAUGAAUUGACGGGG
This 392-nucleotide ribosomal RNA is filed under the name uncultured bacterium. RNAcentral's name for it is "partial 16S ribosomal RNA". It matches the Rfam family "Bacterial small subunit ribosomal RNA", at positions 523 to 918 of the family's 1533-position model. The record is from RNAcentral.